RNAcentral lists this ribosomal RNA (741 nucleotides) under Arthrobacter sp. RNAcentral describes it as "bacterial SSU rRNA". It matches the Rfam family "Bacterial small subunit ribosomal RNA", at positions 72 to 827 of the family's 1533-position model. Lineage: Bacteria; Bacillati; Actinomycetota; Actinomycetes; Micrococcales; Micrococcaceae. The record is from RNAcentral.
AACCUCACUUGUGGGGGGAUUAGUGGCGAACGGGUGAGUAACACGUGAGUAACCUGCCCUUAACUCUGGGAUAAGCCUGGGAAACUGGGUCUAAUACCGGAUAUGACUCCUCAUCGCAUGGUGGGGGGUGGAAAGCUUUUUGUGGUUUUGGAUGGACUCGCGGCCUAUCAGCUUGUUGGUGAGGUAAUGGCUCACCAAGGCGACGACGGGUAGCCGGCCUGAGAGGGUGACCGGCCACACUGGGACUGAGACACGGCCCAGACUCCUACGGGAGGCAGCAGUGGGGAAUAUUGCACAAUGGGCGAAAGCCUGAUGCAGCGACGCCGCGUGAGGGAUGACGGCCUUCGGGUUGUAAACCUCUUUCAGUAGGGAAGAAGCGAAAGUGACGGUACCUGCAGAAGAAGCGCCGGCUAACUACGUGCCAGCAGCCGCGGUAAUACGUAGGGCGCAAGCGUUAUCCGGAAUUAUUGGGCGUAAAGAGCUCGUAGGCGGUUUGUCGCGUCUGCCGUGAAAGUCCGGGGCUCAACUCCGGAUCUGCGGUGGGUACGGGCAGACUAGAGUGAUGUAGGGGAGACUGGAAUUCCUGGUGUAGCGGUGAAAUGCGCAGAUAUCAGGAGGAACACCGAUGGCGAAGGCAGGUCUCUGGGCAUUAACUGACGCUGAGGAGCGAAAGCAUGGGGAGCGAACAGGAUUAGAUACCCUGGUAGUCCAUGCCGUAAACGUUGGGCACUAGGUGUGGGG